Molecule: unclassified non-coding RNA, 343 nt
Filed under: soil metagenome
Description: partial contains 5.8S ribosomal RNA, internal transcribed spacer 2, and large subunit ribosomal RNA
Rfam family: 5.8S ribosomal RNA (bases 1-120)
Source: RNAcentral
GAUGAAGAACGCAGCGAAAUGCGAUACGUAAUGUGAAUUGCAGAAUUCAGUGAAUCAUCGAAUCUUUGAACGCACAUUGCGCCCGCUAGUAUUCUGGCGGGCAUGCCUGUCCGAGCGUCAUUUCAACCCUCAAGCCCCCGGGCUUAGUGUUGGGGAUCGGCGAGCCUCCGCGCCCGCCGUCCCCUAAAUCUAGUGGCGGUCUCGCUGUAGCUUCCUCUGCGUAGUAGCACACCUCGCACUGGGAAACAGCGCGGCUACGCCGUUAAACCCCCAACUUCUGAACGUUUGACCUCGGAUCAGGUAGGAAUACCCGCUGAACUUAAGCAUAUCAAUAAGCGGAGGA